Molecule: ribosomal RNA, 496 nt
Filed under: uncultured bacterium
Lineage: Bacteria
Description: bacterial SSU rRNA
Rfam family: Bacterial small subunit ribosomal RNA
Source: RNAcentral
AUUGAACGCUGGCGGAAUGCUUUACACAUGCAAGUCGAACGGUAGCAGGGGCUUCGGCCCGCUGACGAGUGGCGAACGGGUGAGUAAUACAUCGGAACGUGCCUAGAUGUGGGGGAUAGCCCGGCGAAAGCCGGAUUAAUACCGCAUACGAUCUUUGGAUGAAAGCGGGGGAUCGCAAGACCUCGCGCGAAUGGAGCGGCCGAUGUCAGAUUAGGUAGUUGGUGGGGUAAAGGCUCACCAAGCCGACGAUCUGUAGCUGGUCUGAGAGGACGACCAGCCACACUGGGACUGAGACACGGCCCAGACUCCUACGGGAGGCAGCAGUGGGGAAUUUUGGACAAUGGGCGCAAGCCUGAUCCAGCCAUUCCGCGUGCAGGAUGAAGGCCUUCGGUUGUAAACUGCUUUGUACGGAACGAAACGGUUCUCUCUAAUACAGGGGCGUAAUGACGGUACCGUAAGAAUAAGCACCGGCUAACUACGUGCCAGCAGCCGCGGU